RNAcentral lists this ribosomal RNA (441 nucleotides) under uncultured bacterium. RNAcentral's name for it is "partial 16S ribosomal RNA". It matches the Rfam family "Bacterial small subunit ribosomal RNA", at positions 338 to 795 of the family's 1533-position model. The record is from RNAcentral.
CCUACGGGGAGCAGCAGUGGGGGAUAUUGCACAAUGGGGGGAACCCUGAUGCAGCGACGCCGCGUGGGUGAAGGAGCGUUUCGGCGCGUAAAGCCCUAUCGGCAGGGAAGAAGGAGGACGGUACCUGACUAAGAAGCCCCGGCUAACUACGUGCCAGCAGCCGCGGGAAUACGUAGGGGGCAAGCGUUAUCCGGAUUUACUGGGUGUAAAGGGGGCGCAGACGGCAGCGCAAGCCAGGAGUGAAAGCCCGGGGCCCAACCGCGGGACUGCAUUGGGAACUACCGGGCUGGAGUGCCGGAGAGGUAGGCGGAAUUCCUAGUGUAGCGGUGAAAUGCGUAGAUAUUAGGAGGAACACCAGUGGCGAAGGCGGCCUACUGGACGGUGACUGACGCUGAGGCUCGAAAGCGUGGGGAGCAAACAGGAGUAGAUACCCUGGUAGUC